Molecule: long non-coding RNA, 2628 nt
Organism: Cyprinus carpio carpio
Lineage: Eukaryota; Metazoa; Chordata; Actinopteri; Cypriniformes; Cyprinidae
Source: Ensembl
UGUAAACUGACCAUUGUGCAGUUGUGCAAGAGUGUCUAUAGUACACAGAUAAGUGAAAGUGCAGAGUGCAGAUGUAUGCAAAUGUCCAUUGUUUUUUUGUUUUGUUUUUGAUUUCCUUCUUUCCUGUAGUUAUGGGGUAGGAAGGCAGUUUAUGAUGGGAGUAGUAUACUGGGUGGUAUCAGCUUAUUCAGGAUUCUGACAGCCUGGGGAAAAAGCUGUUGCCGUGCAGGUCCUGAUGCUGCGUAGUCUUCUGUCUGAUGGCAGAGGGUCAAACAGAUGGUGGGGGGGUGAGACGAAUCUUUCACAAUGGCAGAGGCUCUGCGUACACAGCGUGCCUGAUAGAUGUCCUGGAUUGAGGGGAGGGAGAUCCGUAUGAUCCUCUCAGCUGUCCUCACUAUGCGCUGGAGGGUCUAUUGUUCUGCUGUUUUGCAGUUUCCAAACCACACAGUGAUGCAGCUGGCCAGGACGCUCUCCACAGUUCCUCUGUAGAGGGUGUUCAGGAUGUGUGGCGGGAGGCUGGCUCUCUUCAGUUUUCGCAGGAAGUGAAGACAUUGUUGCGCCUUCUUCACAGUGAAACUGGUGUUGAUGGACCAGUUUCUUUGCAAGUCAAACUGAGGACGUCACUGAAGAUCUGCAUUCUUGUUAAGGGUUGGGAACCGAGAACCGGUUCUUAUUCAGGUUCUUAAGUUUCGUUUCCAAAAACGGUUCUGGUGUGACACGUGACCAGGCGCUGUGAGCAGCCUUGCGUUGGUGUUCUGACGAAUCGAUUCGGCGUUUCCCGUGAAACAUGUCACAAACCAAAUAACAGAAACACCGCCCUGCCUCUUUAAUUACUGAGCACAUUGUUUCCAGUGAAGCGCACUCCACAGUUACAGUAACUACAUAACACACGUUUCCCACAACUGUACGCGCACGCGCCUUUGAUAACUGUGCACGUCUUUUUGUCGUUUUGUCUGCCGCCACUUAAUUACAUUAUAUUUGUCCUAUAUUCUCAUUAAUAUACAUACUGACUUCAACUUGGACCACUAAAUAAAUAGACUGCUAUUGUUAUGUAAGUAUUAGAUUAUUAGAGGGUUAGAUUAUUUAGUGUACAGGUCAUUUCAAGAGAGAUAAAUAAAGUGAUAGAAAAUAUGUAUUUUCAUGCAUUUUAAAUGUUUAAAAAUGAGGAAACCAUUCAUUUCAUCACACCAUCUCCUGACUGCAUUAUUAUUUGUAAUAUAGGGGCUUUAUGGAGUGUGUGUAUACAUGGUUAUAAGUAUAACAGUUUAUAUUUCAUUAAUUUAGGGAAAUAAACAAGUGUCUUAGCCCUCAAGGGACUAUUUGGCCAACCAGCUUAUUCCUGCUUGAAAAGCAAAAUGUUACUGAUAGUGUAAAAAACAUCAACUUUGAAGCACAUGCUGAUUGAUGGACUAGAAUUACUCAACAUUACUUACUACCUUCCAGCAACACUACAUUCAAUGAAGGUAAAAUAGUAAAAAAACAUAAUAAUAGUUCAUUUAAAUGGAAUCGGAACUGGAAAAUUUGUAUACUGUAAUACAUGUUGAAUUUUGACAUUGCCAACCUUUAAAUUAAGUUGAUAGUAAGUAAUAAACAGUAUUGAGCACUGAGUAGUUAAGUAUUGUGCAUUUUUCCUCACCACUAUUUUCUUAAUAGUUGUUUAAUGAUUUUAAUGGAAUCGGAACCUGAAAAUUUCUAACGAUACCCAACCCUACUUGUCACGUUCAGCUGAUGAUAAGACUGACACCUGAAAAAUGCUGUAAAGUGAGAAUGUGUUUCUGUGUUUGUGAAACAUGCACUAACAAGCACAGCACUGUGUUUACAUGAAGUAUGACAGAAGACAAGAAUAUUACUGAGUUAAUAUGACAGUAUCUGUUACAUUUGUCUUCAUUGUUCAGUGGUAUAACUGAAGUGUUAAAUGUCAUGAUGCAGUGUUUAUACUCUUAAAUGUCUCUUGAGUUUGGUGUUUGUUCUGUGUUGUAGGUUUAGUGUGAGACAGUGAUUGAACGAGGGUGGGUUGGCUUUUUCUUUUUUAACAAAUUAAGCUGUGUGUGUGUAUAUGUGUGUGAGAGAGAGAGAGAGAGAGAUCUUGUAGACAGCAUAUUGCAAACACUGAACCAAAGAGGAAAUUUUGUUGGGAUUGGGAAUCAAAUACAUUUUCUAAUUUAUUAUUCAUAUCUGAACCAUUUCACAGAAAUCAUUAUGAUUCUGUGACUUCUCUGAAUCUUCUUCAUCAGUUUGACUGUAGAAGAGAGAAGAUUCACACGGUCUGUCAAGACAGGCUUCAACAAAACUGUUUUAGCAAACUAAAAAGGAAAUGAUAAGAGAUUGAAAUUCAUAAACUAUAAUUGCCCUUCAUUGUAUGUUAAUGUUUUUGAGAUUUCAAAUAAAGGAACAGCUGAAACUAAUCCUCUGCUGACCUCUGCAGGUCAUUAAUGUCCAUAAUUAGUUCAGAAAUAAGUUACAGCUCAUCUUGCAUGUGCUCAUGAUGACACGCUGCACGUUGUUCAGUUAUAUAGAAGCUGUUAGAGACCUAAAUAUCCUUUCACAAUGUUAUUAAUGUCAUUUCAUUUGUCAUUUGAAAACCAGAUUCCAUGAAUAAAUCGUGUUUUUAAAUAAACUGGAACUUCC